GGCUCGGUAACUAAGUUGGUAAAGCGCUCGUCUGGCAUACAAGAGUCCUAGAUUCAAAUCCUAGCCGAGCAC
This 72-nucleotide transfer RNA is filed under the name Aedes aegypti (yellow fever mosquito). It matches the Rfam family "tRNA". Rfam says of the family: Transfer RNA (tRNA) molecules are approximately 80 nucleotides in length. Their secondary structure includes four short double-helical elements and three loops (D, anti-codon, and T loops). Lineage: Eukaryota; Metazoa; Arthropoda; Insecta; Diptera; Culicidae. The record is from Rfam by way of RNAcentral.